RNAcentral lists this unclassified non-coding RNA (329 nucleotides) under soil metagenome. RNAcentral's name for it is "partial contains 5.8S ribosomal RNA, internal transcribed spacer 2, and large subunit ribosomal RNA". The stretch from base 1 to 120 matches the Rfam family "5.8S ribosomal RNA", at positions 35 to 154 of the family's 154-position model. The record is from RNAcentral.
GAUGAAGAACGUAGCGAAAUGCGAUAAGUAAUGUGAAUUGCAGAAUUCAGUGAAUCAUCGAAUCUUUGAACGCACAUUGCGCCCGUCAGUAUUCUGGCGGGCAUGCCUGUUCGAGCGUCAUUUCACCACUCAAGCCUGGCUUGGUGUUGGGCGACGUCCCCUUUGGGGACGCGCCUCGAAACGCUCGGCGGCGUGGCACCGGCUUUAAGCGUAGCAGAAUCUUUCGCUUUGGAAGUCGGGGCCCCGUCUGCCGGAAGACCUACUCGCAAGGUUGACCUCGGAUCAGGCAGGGAUACCCGCUGAACUUAAGCAUAUCAAUAAGCGGAGGA